Molecule: unclassified non-coding RNA, 327 nt
Filed under: uncultured fungus
Lineage: Eukaryota; Fungi
Description: partial contains 5.8S ribosomal RNA, internal transcribed spacer 2, and large subunit ribosomal RNA
Rfam family: 5.8S ribosomal RNA (bases 1-52)
Source: RNAcentral
AACGCAAAUUGCGCUCCUUGGUAUUCCGAGGAGCAUGCCUGUUUGAGUGUCAUGAAAUCAUCCACCUCACCUUUGGGCUUUUGUCCUCGGGUCCGGCUGGGACUUGGGCGCUUGCACGUGUCAAAACCUGCUCACCUCAAACGUAUGAUUAACUUGAUCCUGUCUGUUGACCGGUUUGACUCGGUGUUAUAAAUUAUUUCGCUGAGGACAUCCUUCUGGGUGGCCGUUUGACAGUUGGGUCUCGCCCUUAAGUGCGCCACACGUAGACGGGGCUACAUCUUCUUGACAUCUGGCCUCAAAUCAGGUAGGACUACCCGCUGAACUUAA